GGUGUCAGUUCUUUGUAAAGGGUGCUCGAAGAGUCGAGUUGUUUGGGAAUGCAGCUCUAAGUGGGUGGUAAAUUCCAUCUAAAGCUAAAUACAGGCGAGAGACCGAUAGCGAACAAGUACAGUGAUGGAAAGAUGAAAAGAACUUUGAAAAGAGAGUGAAAAAGUACGUGAAAUUGUUGAAAGGGAAGGGCAUUUGAUCAGACAUGGUGUUUUGCGCCCCUUGCCUCUCGUGGGCUUGGGACUCUCGCAGCUCACUGGGCCAGCAUCGGUUUUGGCGGCCGGAAAAAACCUAGGGAAUGUGGCUCUGCGCCUCGGUGUAGAGUGUUAUAGCCCUGGGGAAUACGGCCAGCCGGGACCGAGGACUGCGAUACUUGUUAUCUAGGAUGCUGGCAUAAUGGUUAUAUGCCGCCCGUCUUGAAACACGGACCAAGGAGUCUAACGUCUAUGCGAGUGUUUGGGUGUUAAACCCGUACGCGUAAUGAAAGUGAACGUAGGUUGGGGCCCUCCACCUGGGGGGUGCACAAUCGACCGAUCCUGAUGUCUUCGGAUGGAUUUGAGUAAGAGCAUAGCUGUUGGGACCCGAAAGAUGGUGAACUAUGCCUGAAUAGGGUGAAGCCAGAGGAAACUCUG
This 630-nucleotide ribosomal RNA is filed under the name Nakaseomyces glabratus. RNAcentral describes it as "LSU rRNA". It matches the Rfam family "Eukaryotic large subunit ribosomal RNA", at positions 232 to 866 of the family's 3401-position model. Lineage: Eukaryota; Fungi; Ascomycota; Saccharomycetes; Saccharomycetales; Saccharomycetaceae. The record is from RNAcentral.